AGAGUUUGAUCCUGGCUCAGAUUGAACGCUGGCGGCAUGCUUUACACAUGCAAGUCGAACGGUAGCAGGCCUUCGGUGCUGACGAGUGGCGGACGGGUGAGUAAUGCGUAGGAAUCUGUCUUUUAGUGGGGGAGUAACGCAGCGAAAGUUAGUGCUAAUACCGCAUAAGCUCUGAGGAGGAAAGCGGGGGACCGGAAAGGACCUCGCGCUGAAGGAGCGGCCGAUGUCCGAUUAGCUAGUUGGUAGGGUAAAGGCCGUACCAAGGCGACGAUCAGUAGCUGGUCUGAGAGGACGACCAGCCACACUGGGACUGAGACACGGCCCAGACUCCUACGGGAGGCGAC
This 344-nucleotide ribosomal RNA is filed under the name uncultured prokaryote. Its description in RNAcentral is "bacterial SSU rRNA". It matches the Rfam family "Bacterial small subunit ribosomal RNA", at positions 8 to 352 of the family's 1533-position model. The record is from RNAcentral.